Long non-coding RNA from Cyprinus carpio carpio, 2109 nucleotides. The record is from Ensembl. Lineage: Eukaryota; Metazoa; Chordata; Actinopteri; Cypriniformes; Cyprinidae.
UUUCACGCAGCUCUUUUUGAAUAUAAGCACAAGGUAAAACACGAAUAAUAAGUGCAUCCUAUCGAAUUAGUCGUUUGAAUGUUAGUGACAGGGCCCUGACUCCACUUCCCACAGUGCAGCGCGGCUGCGGGGGUCAUGUGAUGUGUGUGUGUGUCUCUGCGCCGCUGGCUCGUGUCUCAGUCAGACCGAUCUGUGUGAGGAUGUGCUGUGGCUCUCUGUGUGCGCUCUGCUCGGAUCAUGCGGGACACCGACCAGAGGAGCUGCUGCCCCUCACAAACGUGUGGAAUAAGAGCGCUUUCCAGGUGAAGCACUGACAGCAGAAACAGAAACAAAUGCACCGGCAACGUUACUUCUCACGCGCUGGAUUACCGUGUAACGUCUCAGUGACCGCGGAGUAACGCUGACGUUACUUCAUUACAGCUGAACCUGGACGAGGUGGAAACCAGGAUGCCAGAUGUGAUGCUUCACAGAUUUUCAAGGUCGUGUCUGAAGAGACGUGUGGAUGAGUGUGACACCGCUGAUUUCUCCACAUCAUGGAUUAUCAGAGAUAUCUGGAGAUGCUCGUUUCAUAAGUGGAUUUAAGACAUUUCCUUGUACUAUGCUUUGACUGCAGAUACUGGAUUACUCGGACUGUUUUCUACUUUACGUCAUUUGUUUUCUUCUGAUUGGUCAGUACGAUGUUCCAGUCAUGAUGCUCUAUCGAUCUAAUAAAAAUAGUUUUAUUAUAAAUAGUGCUAGUAUUUCAAUAAAAUGGCAAUGUUGUUUGUAAAGAUAUAAGGCACUGUUGUGUUGAGCACUGCUGUGCUAUAUUGUAGAUGAUUAUAUCACAAUCUAACACAACCCACUGUACCCUAUUGUUACCUUUUAAAGGGAUACUCCACUCCAAAAUGAAAAUGUUGUCAUUAAUCACUUACCCGCAUGUCGUUCCAAACCCAUAAAAGCUUUGUUCGUCUUCAGAACACAAUUUAAGAUAUUUUGGAUGAAAACAGGGAGGCUUGUGACUGUUCCACAGACUGCCAAAUAAAUAACAGUGUCAAGGUCCAGGAAAGUAUGAAAAGCAUCUUCAGAAUACUCCAUCUGUCAUCAGUGAUUCAACCGUAACAUUAUGAAGAGACUAGAAUACUUUUUGUACACGAAGAAAACAAAAAUAACAACUUUAUUCAACAACUCCUCUCCUCUAUGUCUCUCCACAUCAGCGUAGCUCCAUUUUGACAAAUCUGGGCAGUAUGCAGUUGGCGUACGCUCUUCUGUGUCAGCCGCGCCACAAGGAUACAUUUAUUACGUGUAUUUAUGCUUUGGUUUGAAAGAAAACAACGCAUCGGCGCAGCGCGGCUGACACAGAAGAGCGUACGCUGCCUGCGUUCAGCUCAGAAUUGUCAAAAUGGCACUACAGGAAUUGUUGAAUAAAGUCAUUAUUUUUGUUUUCUUCAUGUACAAAAAGUAUUCUCGUCUCUUCAUAACGUUACGGUUGAAUCACUGAUGGCAGAUGGACUAUUCUGAUGAUGCUUUUCAUUCUUUUCUGGACCUUGACACUGUUAUUUACUUGUCAGUCUAUGGGACAGUCUCAAGCCUCCCUGUUUUCAUCCAAAAUAUCUUACAUUAUGUUCUGAAGACGAAAAGAGCUUUUACAGGUUUGGAACGACAUGUAGGUAAGUGAUUAAUGACAAAAUUUUCAUUUUGGGGUGGAGUAUCCCUUUAAUAUACAAGUAUUUUUUACAAACAUUGAUGUAUAAUUGAUAUAAUGUUAUUUUGAAGAUUGUCCUGAAUUUUUGCUUGAUUGAAGCAAAAUCUAUCAUAUCAUGAUGUGAAAAACUGGUGGUGACAUGCACACAAUAUUAAAAGUUAAUAAAAACAAACUUUAUUUUUAUAUUUUUAUUUUUGUAGCAAGGUCACAGUUGGAAAUUCUCCCAGAAUGCUGUUCUCACGGCUAUCGACAUCUUUACAUGCAAACAGCAGCACAAAACCGUCUCACAAAGUAUAAACAUUGACUAAAUAGUUAGUCUUAUCUGACAUUGACUUACUGCAAUCAAUAUGUGUGUGUGUGUGUGUGUGUGGCAGACAUCCUGUUUACCCGCUGUCUGCUGCAGAUUUAUUAACCUUAAACAAGAC